UGGGGAAUAUUGCGCAAUGGGGGGAACCCUGACGCAGCCAUGCCGCGUGAAUGAAGAAGGCCUUCGGGUUGUAAAGUUCUUUCGGUAUUGAGGAAGGUUGAUGUGUUAAUAGCACAUCAAAUUGACGUUAAAUACAGAAGAAGCACCGGCUAACUCCGUGCCAGCAGCCGCGGCAAUACGGAGGGUGCGAGCGUUAAUCGGAAUAACUGGGCGUAAAGGGCACGCAGGCGGUUAUUUAAGUGAGGUGUGAAAGCCCCGGGCUUAACCUGGGAAUUGCAUUUCAGACUGGGUAACUAGAGUACUUUAGGGAGGGGUAGAAUUCCACGUGUAGCGGUGAAAUGCGUAGAGAUGUGGAGGAAUACCGAAGGCGAAGGCAGCCCCUUGGGAAUGUACUGACGCUCAUGUGCGAAAGCGUGGGGAGCAAACAGGAUUAGAUACCCUGGUAGUCCACGCUGUAAACGCUGUCGAUUUGGGGGUUGGGGUUUAACUCUGGCGCCCGUAGCUAACGUGAUAAAUCGACCGCCUGGGGAGUACGGCCGCAAGGUUA
RNAcentral lists this ribosomal RNA (547 nucleotides) under uncultured bacterium. Its description in RNAcentral is "bacterial SSU rRNA". It matches the Rfam family "Bacterial small subunit ribosomal RNA", at positions 355 to 896 of the family's 1533-position model. The record is from RNAcentral.